GUCCAGACGAGGAAAGUCCGGGCUUCACAGGGCAGGAUGCCGGAUAACGUCCGGUGGAGGUAACUCCCAGACCAGUGCAACAGAAAUAAACCGCCCCGUUUUGCGGGGUAAGGGUGGAAAGGCAGUGUAAGAGACUACCGCCGCUGUGGUAACAGAGCGGGCACAUGUAAACUCCAUUCGAAGCAAGACCGAGAAGAAAGCCAUACGGCGGCCCGUCGUGCUUUCAGGUAGGUCGCUGGAGCCUUCUGGCAACGGAAGGCCUAGAUAGAUGAU
This 273-nucleotide RNase P RNA is filed under the name Acinetobacter baumannii. RNAcentral's name for it is "bacterial RNase P". It matches the Rfam family "Bacterial RNase P class A", at positions 35 to 316 of the family's 367-position model. Rfam says of the family: Ribonuclease P (RNase P) is a ubiquitous endoribonuclease, found in archaea, bacteria and eukarya as well as chloroplasts and mitochondria. Lineage: Bacteria; Pseudomonadati; Pseudomonadota; Gammaproteobacteria; Moraxellales; Moraxellaceae. The record is from RNAcentral.